Caenorhabditis elegans is the source of this 144-nucleotide non-coding RNA. NCBI's taxonomy places the organism in Eukaryota, Metazoa, Nematoda, Chromadorea, Rhabditida, Rhabditidae. The record is from Ensembl.
GUCACGCCAUUCAAAAAAGAGAGACGUGGAAGCUGGCUGGUGGUUGACUGAGAGCUCAACAAAGAGCAUGUAGACAGAAAUGUGAUAUUUGAGAAGCUGAGCAAGAAGUCAUUGACACAAAAGAACACCUACUUAAGAAGGUCG